Molecule: RNA transcript, 3773 nt
Organism: Hyla sarda
Lineage: Eukaryota; Metazoa; Chordata; Amphibia; Anura; Hylidae
Gene: NAGLU
Gene name: N-acetyl-alpha-glucosaminidase
Exons: 7
Source: RefSeq, a predicted model, not a curated record
UUACCACAUUAAGGAAAUGUAAAAGACUCUCUCAGCUGAAAUGUACGUCUGUAGAGAGUCUCAGCAGUAAUCCGCACUUGUACCUGCUCAACUCCUUCUACCCACUUAACCCUUCUUACAAAUAUUUCCAUGCAAACGCCUACUGGGUGUAGAUACGAUGGGUGACGUGAACAAGAUUUAAGGAAGAACUCUUAUGCACUUUGCAGGUGGACGUCAUUGACCCUUAUUCUUAAAUGAACCAUUGACUGCAGACACAAGGAUGAGAGCGGCCGGGCUAGCCCUGAUCCUCCUGUCCUCUCUCGGCGCGGUGGUUUCAGGAAAAGUUUUCCAGACUUUGUCCCACCUGAAGGCACAGUACAGGGACUCGGUGCAGACCGCCGCUGUCCAGGAUCUUCUUCACCGGCUGAUUAGUGCCCGUGCCGAUGAGUUUGUGGUCACCGUGAACAGCUCCUUGGCUGGAAUAGACGGUCUGGACACUUACGAGCUGAGCUCGGUGCCGGGGGGUAAAGUAGCCGUGGUGGGCAGCACUGGGGUGGCAGCCGCCACGGGGUGCUACAACUAUUUAAAGUACUUCUGUGGUUGCCACAUUUCAUGGUCAGGAGUCCAGCUGCGAGUGCCGUCACCACUACCUCGAGUGCCUUCAACUAUCACGGUGAAGACACCAAACAGGUUUCGAUACUAUCAGAAUGUCUGCACCUCCAGUUACUCAUUUGUGUGGUGGGACUGGGCCAGAUGGGAGAAAGAGAUUGACUGGAUGGCGCUUAAUGGAAUCAACAUGCCCCUCGCAUUCACAGGCCAGGAGGCCAUAUGGCAGCGGGUAUUCUUGACUUUGGGAUUAACUCAGUCGGAGAUCGAUGACUUUUUCACCGGUCCUGCUUUUCUGGCGUGGGGUCGUAUGGGGAAUAUUCACACUUGGGGUGGUCCGCUGUCCUCCGACUGGAUGCAGAAGCAGCUCUCCCUGCAGAACAAGAUUGUGGAGAGGAUGAGGUCUCUUGGGAUGAUCACGGUGCUGCCGGCGUUUGCCGGACAUAUACCACAAGGUCUAAUAAGAGUAUUUCCUAAAAUCAACGUGACCAGGCUGGGUGGUUGGAGCAACUUCAACUGCACAUACUCCUGCAGUUAUCUAUUGGACCCGGAGGACCCCCUCUUCCAGAAGAUCGGAGGACUCUUUAUGACCGAGAUGAUUGAGGAAUUCGGGACUGACCAUAUUUACAAUGCGGACACGUUCAAUGAGAUGACCCCGACCUCAUCUGACCCGGCCUAUUUGUCAGCCAUCAGUAGUGCCAUCUAUAAGUCCAUGGUCACUGUGGAUCCCGGAGCCAUCUGGUUGAUGCAGGGCUGGUUGUUUUAUAACAGUCCAUCCUUCUGGAAGCCAGCGCAGAUUCGCGCACUCCUCCACGGAGCGCCCAUCGGUAAAAUCAUCGUCCUGGACUUGUUUGCAGAGACCUCUCCUGUCUAUCAGUCUACAGAGUCUUUCUUCGGCCAGCCGUUCAUUUGGUGCAUGCUACAUAACUUUGGUGGCAACCACGGUUUAUACGGGAAAGUCGACUCGGUCAACGCCGGACCCUUUGAUGCCUUGGCGUUCGAAAACUCCACCAUGGUUGGGACAGGAUUGACCCCAGAAGGCAUCGAGCAAAACGACAUGAUAUAUGAACUGAUGAAUGAGAUCGGAUGGAGAUCCAAGCCCCUUAAUCUUACCGAGUGGAUCGCCGGUUACACCACCAGACGUUACGGCCAAAAAGACCCUAAUGCUCUGGCGGCAUGGCGGCUUCUUCUCACCAGUGUCUACAACUGUACCCAAAAUUGGAAGGACCACAACCACAGCCCCCUAGUGAGGCGACCAUCUCUCAAGAUGAAUACAGACGUCUGCUACAACCAGAAUGACCUCUUCGAAGCUUGGAAGCUCAUGCGCGACGCAGCCUCGUCCCUGUCGAAAAGUAGCCCGUUCCUGUAUGACCUGGUGGACGUCACCAGAGAGGCCGUGCAGCAGUUGGUAACUCAAUAUUACGUUGACAUCAAGACAUCUUACGAGAACGAAGAUCUAGAGAGUCUUGUAACGGCAGGCGGGGUGCUGGUCUACGACCUCCUCCCUGCACUCGAUGAUCUCCUUUCCAGUCAACCCCAGUUCUUGCUUGGCAGAUGGUUGAGUGAUGCCAGGAAAAUGGCGGUAACGUCUCAGGAGGCCUCCCUUUAUGACAUGAACGCUCGCAACCAGAUAACUCUAUGGGGUCCUACUGGCAACAUUUUAGACUAUGCUAACAAACAACUGGGGGGACUGGUGCAAGACUACUAUGCCGAGCGUUGGAGCCUAUUUCUCUGGUGCCUGGUUGAAAGCCUUAAUGCGGAGAUACCCUUUAAGCAAGACAAGUUCAACCAGGCUGUAUUUUCGGUCGAGAAGGGAUUUGUGUACAAUGGCAAGAAAUAUAGUUCUACUCCCACCGGGAACACAGUAGAGAUCGUUCAAAGUAUUUUUAUAAAGUACUAUCCAAAAGCCGUGAAGAUAACCGAGAACAAAUAAAUUACUAUAUUCCUUAUGCAAAAAGUAACGGAAAAAAGGUCUUAGAUAUGUAAUGUACCGUAUUUUUCGCCCUAUAGGACGCACCGGCGUAUAAGACGCACCCAAUUUUUAGGGGCAAAAUCUAAAAAAAUUAAGAUUUUGAACCCAAUAGUGGUCCGCAGAUUGAAGACCACUGCAUAGGAGGUAAUACUCACGUGUCCCCGCCGCUCCGGACCCGUCACCGCUGCCCUGGAUGUCGCUCCAUCGCUGUCGCCCGGGAACGUCUCUGCUGCCGGCCGGGUAUCCUCGCUCUCCGUCGCCGUCAUCGCGACGUUACGCACGCCGACGCACGUACGCGACGACGUGAUGACGAGAAAGGAGAGCGCCGGCCAUACAGGGGAUCCCUGAACGGAGAAGACACCGAGGAGGCAGGUAAGGUCCCUCCCAGUGUCCUGUAAGCACUAACCCGGCUAUUCAGUCGGGCUGUUCGGGACGCCGCGGUGAAAUCGCUGAACAGCCGGGUUAGUGUCACUUUCCCUUCAGACGCGGCGGUCAGCUUUGAUCGCCGCGUCUGAAGGGUUAAUACAGGGCAUCACCGCGAUCGGUGAUGUCCUGUAUUAGCCGCGGGUCCCGGCCGUUGAUGGCCGCAGGGACCGCCGCGAUAGGGGUGUAUUUGCCGUAUAAGACGCACCAACUUUUCCCCCCCCAGUUUUGGGGAAGAAAAAGUGCGUCUUAUACGGCGAAAAAUAUGGUAAGUCAUAAAAUGUGCAAAAUACUGUAUAAACACACGUGUUUGCUGUAUCAGCAUUGCCCUAAGACAGUGUUUCCCAACCAGAGUACCUCCACAACAUGCCCGGACAGUCAAAGGCUGCUGAGAUGAGAGGGAAGCCUUGAUUUACCUUUCAGGGACAGUGUAGAUCCUCUGGAGGAGGCAGUGUGGAUCUUCUGAAAGAGCCUUAGGGUGCUGGGAGUUGUAGUUUUGCAGCAGCUGGAGGUAUCCUGGUUGGGAAACACUGUCCUAAGAGUAUACAAGUUACGCAGCUUAAUAUACAGGGAUGAAACAUUCGCAACGUUCUACUUGUCCUAAAGUUGUUUUUUUUGGGGCAAUUGAGAUUCCAUGAGUGAGAUUGAGGCUUAGUUUCCAAGUGGGUUCAGCAUUUCAUAUUUCUCUGCUGACUUCCAGCUAACAUCUGGACGCAGUGUUCUUUUCCCCACAAAAACAAAAAAAAACGUAAGGCGAAUUGGACGUUUUUUUUUUUGUUUUUUGUUUUUUUGG